CCUACGGGUGGCAGCAGUGGGGAAUAUUGGGCAAUGGGCGCAAGCCUGACCCAGCAACGCCGCGUGAAGGAAGAAGGCUUUCGGGUUGUAAACUUCUUUUCUCAGGGACGAAGCAUGUGACGGUCCCUGAGCAAUAAGCCACGGCUACCUACGUGCCAGCAGCCGCGGUAAUACGUAGGUGGCAAGCGUUAUCCGGAUUUACUGGGUGUAAAGGGCGUGUAGGCGGGGACGGAAGUCAGAUGUGAAAACCACGGGCUCAACCUGUGGCCUGCAUUUGAAACUGUGUGUCUUGAGUACUGGAGAGGCAGACGGAAUUCCUGGUGUAGCGGUGAAAUGCGUAGAUAUUAGGAGGAACACCAGUGGCGAAGGCGGGCUGCUGGACAGCAACUGACGCUGAGGCGCGAAAGCGUGGGGAGCAAACAGGAUUAGAUACCCUUGUAGUC
This 443-nucleotide ribosomal RNA is filed under the name uncultured bacterium. Its description in RNAcentral is "partial 16S ribosomal RNA". It matches the Rfam family "Bacterial small subunit ribosomal RNA", at positions 338 to 795 of the family's 1533-position model. The record is from RNAcentral.